CCUACGGGAGGCUGCAGUCGAGAAUCAUUCACAAUGGGGGAAACCCUGAUGGUGCGACGCCGCGUGGGGGAAUGAAGGUCUUCGGAUUGUAAACCCCUGUCAUGUGGGAGCAAAUUAAAAAGAUAGUACCACAAGAGGAAGAGACGGCUAACUCUGUGCCAGCAGCCGCGGUAAUACAGAGGUCUCAAGCGUUGUUCGGAAUCACUGGGCGUAAGGCGUGCGUAGGCUGUUUCGUAAGUCGUGUGUGAAAGGCGCGGGCUCAACCCGCGGACGGCACAUGAUACUGCGAGACUAGAGUAAUGGAGGGGGAACCGGAAUUCUCGGUGGAGCAGUGAAAUGCGUAGAUAUCGAGAGGAACACUCGUGGCGAAGGCGGGUUCCUGGACAUUAACUGACGCUGAGGCACGAAGGCCAGGGGAGCGAAAGGGAUUAGAUACCCGUGUAGUC
Molecule: ribosomal RNA, 446 nt
Filed under: uncultured bacterium
Lineage: Bacteria
Description: partial 16S ribosomal RNA
Rfam family: Bacterial small subunit ribosomal RNA
Source: RNAcentral